RNAcentral lists this ribosomal RNA (460 nucleotides) under uncultured bacterium. RNAcentral's name for it is "partial 16S ribosomal RNA". It matches the Rfam family "Bacterial small subunit ribosomal RNA", at positions 338 to 795 of the family's 1533-position model. The record is from RNAcentral.
CCUACGGGAGGCAGCAGUGAGGAAUAUUGGUCAAUGGGCGCGAGCCUGAACCAGCCACGUCGCGUGAAGGACGACUGCCCUCCGGGUUGUAAACUCCUUUUAUAAGGGAAUAAAGUGCGGUACGUGUGCCAUUUUGCCUGUACUUUAUGAAUAAGGAUCGGCUAACUCCGUGCCAGCAGCCGCGGUAAUACGGAGGAUCCGAGCGUUAUCCGGAUUUAUUGGGUUUAAAGGGAGCGUAGAUGGGUUGUUAAGUCAGUUGUGAAAGUUUGCGGCUCAACCGUGAAAUUGCAAUUGAUACUGGGAGUCUGGAGUACAGUUGAGGUAGGCGGAAUUCGUGGUGUAGCGGUGAAAUGCUUAGAUAUCACGAAGAACUCCGAUUGCGAAGGCAGCUUACUAGACUGCCACUGACGUUGAUGCUCGAAAGUGUGGGUAGCAAACAGGAUUAGAUACCCCAGUAGUC